GAAAAUAUGUUUACGUGUCGUUUUAUUAUUGGUGUAAUUGUCUGACUAUUUUCAUGUUCUCACUUAUUGUGGCGUCUCUCGUGAAACUGAUAUACGUUGCAAAUCUACUUUUUGCUUACUUUGAUAACUUUUUUGCCGGCCAAUAGAUUCCCGAAUCUGUGCAAGCGAAUCAAAUAAGAAAGAAAAGGAAAACGUUAAAAAUGUAAUUUACUUUUUUUGCUUUUAUCCGCAACCACCGAACCAAUGGUCUCUUUUCUCGUUCAGUCAGACAUGGAAUACCCCGGCUUACACUACACGAACUAAUUCGGCUGAGAGCAUCUCUAACCCAAAAUCCCAUUUUAAUCUAACCUAUACUAAAAGGGUUAUAUAAGCAUCAGAGAGUGUGUCCACGUAGGACAAUUAAAUCAUCCAAUCAGAGAACAGCUCUCCGCCACGUCAGAUACGCAUGACAAAUUUUAAUUUUCUCAAAAUCGAAUCUCGAUCCCUUUCUCUUCGUCUUCUCCGUCUGCUAUUUUAGAUCGAAACCGUGUUCGACUGGUCUUGCAGCGACGAAUCACCCGCGAGGCAUAGUCUUAUCUUCCGCGGUUUGAUCCAUGUGCUGUACGCAGGGUCGGCAAGAUCCUCGCACGAUGAAUCGACAGAAGAAGCUAUUGAGUUUGCGACUCAGCAGGGGAAAGAGAAGGAGCUGUGCAAGACUGGAGACUCCGUUGUUGCUCUACUCCGAGUUGGGAACGCUUCCCUAAUCAAGAUCUUGACCGUUAAGUGAUGAUGAUUAGGAAAAAUCCCGUUUUUGGCGUCUGGCGUUUGGAGGAAACGCAACUAUAUACGUUUUUCUUAAUAUGAAUUUUAUUCAAGAUUUGUGAUUAAAAUCUUGAGAUUGAAAACUCAAAUUCUAUUUCUUGAUAAUUACAACUGUGGUGACCCGUGUGAAUCCACUUACGGUUUUUCUUUCUUCUGGAUUUCUAUUGGUUGUAUGGAACUAAUGAAUCGUACACGUAUCUCUACUAUCAUGAUUUUUUUUUUUUUUGGUGAAGUUUGAUGCUUUGGUUGCAGCCCUUCCGUUAUCAGACUGAGGUGAAGAAACUCAGUUGAAAAGAAUUGCUGAACUCCUGGUAUUGAUAAAUAAAUCAUUGCAUGUUCCCUUCUAUGCUAUUUUUCUUCAGGUGGAAAAUGAUGUUAUUGGCCAAGAGCUCUCUAACGAUUUACAUCUAUUCUGAUCCAACUGCUGCGGAACGUUUGUAUCAAAGAAAGAUGUCAUGUAGAAAAAGUCAUCAGCUGGGCAAGCACAAGGUUUAACAACCACUAAACCACUCAGUUGAGACAGUAGGAUCUCUUUCGUGUUGAUCAUACAAGCUUGCGAUAUAGAGCUAGAAGACAAAGCCAUAGAAGUAGCAGAGCUGAAAACAGAGAGGUAGAGCUAGAGAGAAUUACAAGGCUGAAGCAUGUAGAGGCAGACAUAUCCCCAGCUAAAAGUUAACGAUGCAAAGCGGAGGCUGAUUGGUCGAUUAUUAAGGACAUGGACAAUAUUCAAACGCUGGAUGCAAAAUUGUUUUCAGUAUUUUAUUUGCUAACGCCACCGUAUGUGCAGGUUGCAGAGUUUAAAUGCCUACUCGGUGUUAAAGCUAAUACCAAAGAAUGAAUACUAUAACAAAACUCUCCAGCUUCCAAAAGAAUUUGAUGCUACAACCGCUUGGUGACAGUGCACCAGUGUUGGAAGGAUCCUAGGUCUCAUUCAUCUUCUGUCUAUUUGGAAAUUAAACUUACUGAAGAAGUUGCAAGGGAUAAGCAAAGUUGCUUCUUCUUCAGGAAACAAGUUAGGUUGCAAGAAACACUGACACCAAAGAAGUUGCUUAUUCUAGCUCUUCAGGAAGCUGAGAGAAAUGGAAAUAGCAUAUAUAUUAUCUGCCUUAUCCGUGUGGAGGAUUCAGAGGAUGAGGACCAUACUUCUCAGGUUUCAACUGAAUCACUUUGGUUUACUCCAAAAGAGAGGUAUUAGCUUAUAACUACUAUACACUGUGCUCUUUGGUGUCUGAAGGAAAGAAAUCUACUCUCAGGUAUAUAUUUAAAUAUAUGGUUUUCGUAGCAAUUUAAAAUUGGAUUCAUAUAGUUUUAAGCACACAACAGAUAUGCUAAUUUGAAGGUUCAUCGCAAUGGAACUCUAUAAUGUCUGAGAGGUCCUCUAUAGUUCCAUCGUCAGGCUUCCCAAGUUUAAUCUUUCUCCAAGGUAUAAGUAUUUUCACUAUUAUAUUUUUAAAUUUCACUAUCUUUUUAUCUAUGUAGUAGCAUAUUGAAAACCCAAUGUGAUAAGAAUCUCUCAUUCUGAGAAUUCAAAAAGUUUCCAUAUGGCGGAAGGGAUGUAACACUUCUGAAGUCAUUUGAGUUCCAAGACCUAUAUUCAUGUGGUCAGUUUUUACCGUUUCAAGUUUCAACAGUGGUCACUCCACUUUGGAUCAGCUUGCAUUCAGUUACAUGCCAGUUAAGUUCAAGUUUCUUCGUGCAAGAGCGUGCACCCGAACAUCACCUCUCAAUUUAGCUAUAGAGAUUCUGAAAUGGAGUGAGGAGAGAACAAACAUAUGCGUGAUGUAUACUCUAUGUCCAGUACUUAUCAAGUUCUUCUCAAAUCAGUGUAUUCACAUUAAAAACAAGUCUAAUGUAAAUAGUCACCACUAUCUGGAGUAGAGAUUCUUACACAUUGAUCUUAAUUGUUUGAGAUUCAGUUCAGCGCAUUCA
Brassica napus (rape) is the source of this 2730-nucleotide long non-coding RNA. RefSeq lists it as uncharacterized. The transcript has 8 exons. NCBI's taxonomy places the organism in Eukaryota, Viridiplantae, Streptophyta, Magnoliopsida, Brassicales, Brassicaceae. The record is from RefSeq and is a predicted model, not a curated record.